RNAcentral lists this ribosomal RNA (472 nucleotides) under uncultured bacterium. RNAcentral's name for it is "bacterial SSU rRNA". It matches the Rfam family "Bacterial small subunit ribosomal RNA", at positions 28 to 507 of the family's 1533-position model. The record is from RNAcentral.
GACGAACGCUGGCGGCGUGCCUAACACAUGCAAGUCGAACGGAGAUAUUGAGAAGUUUACUUUUUAAUAUUUUAGUGGCGGACGGGUGAGUAACGCGUGAGCAAUCUGCCUUUUAGAGGGGGAUAACACAGGGAAACUUGUGCUAAUACCGCAUAAUGUAUAUUUUCGGCAUCGGAGAUAUACCAAAGGAGCAAUCCGCUGAAAGAUGAGCUCGCGUCCGAUUAGAUAGUUGGUGAGGUAACGGCUCACCAAGUCUGCGAUCGGUAGCCGAACUGAGAGGUUGAUCGGCCACAUUGGGACUGAGACACGGCCCAGACUCCUACGGGAGGCAGCAGUGGGGGAUAUUGCGCAAUGGGGGAAACCCUGACGCAGCAACGCCGCGUGAAGGAUGAAGGUCUUCGGAUCGUAAACUUCUGUCUUUGGGGAAGAAUCAAUGACGGUACCCAAGGAGGAAGCCACGGCUAACUACGUG